GCUUCUUCUCCCAGCGGCCACUACUACAGCAGGGCUUUCUAGUGGCCACACCCUUCUUUUCUAAAAAUGGUUGCAAAUGAACGGGCGCCAAUAGAAAUAAAAAGAUGAAUUCCGCGACCCAAACAGUCUAUGUAAACAUAUUUAUAUAUUCGGUUUUUUUAUAAAAUCUACCUGUGUAGAUAUUUAUAGUUUCUACUAGCAGUUUAGUUAUGCAGCUGUCUGAAUAAACAUAUUUUACACAAACGGUUAUUUUAUAGAAUCCAUCUUUAGAUAUUCAUAGUUUCUACGAGCACAUCAGUAUUUUUUUUGUUUGUGCAACAACGUGCUCUUUAAUUGGGUGUGCAUGCGUUCGUGCAUGUGAUGUGCACAUCGAACAGGCCAGAACCCGUGGCGGCCGGCCGGCACCGCUAGGGUAGAAGGACACGUGUCCACUCGUGGCGUGCGCCCGCCACCUGCCGAC
This 460-nucleotide long non-coding RNA is filed under the name Sorghum bicolor (sorghum). RNAcentral's name for it is "long non-coding RNA (SBIC_LNC004082)". Lineage: Eukaryota; Viridiplantae; Streptophyta; Magnoliopsida; Poales; Poaceae. The record is from RNAcentral.